GUGAGGAAUAUUCCGCAAUGGGGGGAACCCUGACGGAGCAAUGCCGCGUGCAGGAUGAAGGCCCUCGGGUCGUAAACUGCUUUUAUUUGAGAAGAAUAUGACGGUAACAAAUGAAUAAGGGACGGCUACUACGUGCCAGCAGCCGCGGUCAUACGUAGGUCCCAAGCGUUAUCCGGAGUGACUGGGCGUAAAGAGUUGCGUAGGCGGCUCAUUAAGCAUUCAAUGAAAACUAUCGGCUCAACCGGUAGCCUAUUGAGUGAACUGAUGGGCUCGAGAGUAUCAGAGGUUACUGGAAUUUCUAGUGUAGCAGUGAAAUGCAUAGAUAUUAGAAAGAACACCAACGGCGUAGGCAGGUAACUGGGGUAUUUCUGACGCUAAGGCACGAAAGCGUGGGGAGCGAACCGGAUUAGAAACCCUUGUAGUCC
RNAcentral lists this ribosomal RNA (425 nucleotides) under uncultured bacterium. RNAcentral describes it as "partial 16S ribosomal RNA". It matches the Rfam family "Bacterial small subunit ribosomal RNA", at positions 354 to 796 of the family's 1533-position model. The record is from RNAcentral.